UGGAAUACAUGAUUACAACGUUGUUAUUUUGCACCCCAUAGCUGUCACUGUAUUUUAAGGUUUUAUUACAUAGGCUGACAUAACUAUGUAUAUUUAUUCAGUUAACCCUUGUAAUUUGUUAUGGGGUUGCCCUUGUCAUACCACAGUUAACAUGGAAGCUUUGCUCAAACUUAAGAAACAAUGCUUGAAAGUGCUUUAAAAUCCAUGACUCGGAUAUACAAACAGGUACUUAGUAGAGUUGACAAAAGCACAUGAAGAAGUUAGUUUGCCUCCUUUUGAGGUCACUGCUAUGGGGUGGGGAGCUGACAAUGGACAUGCUCCAUACAUGCCACACGUGCCCAUUGCUGUGACUGGGGCAGGGAACUUAGACUGGGCAUCUCUCACUACCUGCCACAGCCACAGUGCUGAGAGUGGUGGAGGAGUGAGGUCAAUCAUUGAGAUCAUAGAAUCUUAGAAGAUCAGGGUUGGAAGGAACCUCAGGAGGUCAUCUAGUCCAACCCCCUGCUUAAAGCAGGACCAAUCCCCAAUUUUUGCCCCAGAUUCCUAAAUGGCCCCUUCAAGGAUUGAACUCGCAUCCCUGGGUUUAGUAGGCCAAUGCUCAAACCACUGAGCUAUCCCUCCCGAUGCUCAUCUAUUCUAAAAAACACAAGUCCAGGGCCUCAUUAACACCCUUGCUGUGAGAACAAUACAAAAGAGACACAAAACUGACAAGCAGUAGCACCUGCCAUAUUUCCAAUCAAUAUCCCUUCAAAUAUAUUGAAUUUCCAAAAGUCAAGAAUGCUUCAUCUAGGCUACAGCCAUUCAUCAGGGGUUGUACCUUCAGAUCAUUUGGACUUAAGUUCAUAAGUCACAUAAAUGCUUUUGAAAAUCUCUCUGAGAAACCUCAAAUAUGGGGUUAGGAGCCUAAAUUUAGGCCCCUCUUUUUGAAAAAGUUGGACUAUGUAUAUAGAAAACUUGCACUUUAACAAAGUUAUAGUGUGAAAGUCUGUUUAGCUUUUCAUUGUUAACACUGAUGCAUUCAUGAAGUUUUUCAGCAGUUAAUUAACCUAAGCGUGCAGAAAAAAAUGGAAGUUUACAAAACCAGUUUUAUUUCUUAACCUCCAUUUGAACUAAAAUGUCCUCAUCUUACUUACAAAGCUGUUUUGCAAGACAAUCCCCCCUACCAAACAGACAGAAGAUAGGAGAAGGGAAAAGGAAAAGAGACUAAAUUGUCUUUUUGGUUCAGAGGAAGGUGAAUAUGAUUGUUGAGAGUUCCAAGAUGGAGUUGUGGACCUCUCUUUGUAUAGACAAGAUCUCUUGAUCUAUUUGAGGUCAGUUUGGAAAAGCUGGAGUGGGUGUCCAGGACCAUUGCUGGACAAAGUACCCUCUCACAGUGAUAGGUGCCAGUGUCUGAUCAGACAAAAUCAAAUCUAGGACCGGUUAUGGUAUAUUGAUAAAAUCUCAAAAACUUCAUUCUCUGUGAUUCGUUAGGCUUGAUACCAAUUACCUGGAGUCUUU
This is a long non-coding RNA of Dermochelys coriacea (leatherback sea turtle), 1497 nucleotides long. RefSeq lists it as uncharacterized. Lineage: Eukaryota; Metazoa; Chordata; Testudines; Dermochelyidae. The record is from RefSeq and is a predicted model, not a curated record. The transcript is spliced from 2 exons.